AACAGUAGCAAACUCAUUCAUUAAAGACAAACAUGAUUAGAAUUAUACAAUGGGGAAGAGUACUUAUAAGUGUUAUUACUCUUUGCUGGACAUACAUUAGAAAAGAAAUAAAAAAUAUUUCUAGAAACUAAAAAUUGGCUACAUGUCUUCUUCACAUGUUAUCAUUGCGGAAAAGAUCAUGCAUGUUAUUCAUGGCGUUGUUGAGAUCAUUAUUUUGUCGGGUCCAUUCUGAU
RNAcentral lists this long non-coding RNA (233 nucleotides) under Lathyrus oleraceus (garden pea). Its description in RNAcentral is "Pisum sativum (pea) long non-coding RNA (PSAT_LNC028482)". The record is from RNAcentral. Lineage: Eukaryota; Viridiplantae; Streptophyta; Magnoliopsida; Fabales; Fabaceae.